RNAcentral lists this ribosomal RNA (117 nucleotides) under Candidatus Omnitrophota bacterium. Lineage: Bacteria; Pseudomonadati; Candidatus Omnitrophota. The record is from RNAcentral.
GGGAGCGUCCAUACUGGAGGUGAAACACCCGUUCCCAUUCCGAAUACGGUAGUUAAGCCCUCCAAGGUCGAUGGUACUGUACUGGCGACGGUACGGGAGAGUAGAUAGACGCUCCUU